AGGAUGAACGCUAGCGGGAGGCUUAAUACAUGCAAGUCGUACGGUAACAGGCGUAGCAAUACGUGCUGACGAGUGGCGCACGGGUGAGUAACACGUACGCAAUCUACCUUUAACUGAGGAAUAGCUCCGGGAAACUGGAAUUAAUACCUCAUAACAUCUUGAUGUGGCAUCACAUUGAGAUUAAAACUCCGGUAGGUUAAA
Molecule: ribosomal RNA, 201 nt
Filed under: uncultured bacterium
Lineage: Bacteria
Description: partial small subunit ribosomal RNA
Rfam family: Bacterial small subunit ribosomal RNA
Source: RNAcentral